UGACCCAACAAAGACAGCCUCUUUGGGUUUGUUUCAAAGCUAAGGCUACAUACAAAUAUGCGUGUCGCUUGGACGACGCCGUUUAGGCCACACACCAUUUAAACAAUUUUGUAUACAUUUAUGGUCAAAUUGGUCAAUUAGUAUCUUUGCCGUACCGAGAUGUCUCAGCUAGCCACUUAACUCGACAGAUGAUUUGCUGAGCGGUCAUGGUUAAAAUU
Molecule: long non-coding RNA, 218 nt
Organism: Arabidopsis thaliana (thale cress)
Lineage: Eukaryota; Viridiplantae; Streptophyta; Magnoliopsida; Brassicales; Brassicaceae
Product: other RNA
Exons: 1
Source: RefSeq